This 496-nucleotide long non-coding RNA is filed under the name Nicotiana benthamiana. RNAcentral describes it as "long non-coding RNA (NBEN_LNC013831)". Lineage: Eukaryota; Viridiplantae; Streptophyta; Magnoliopsida; Solanales; Solanaceae. The record is from RNAcentral.
GCUUCUGUGGCGGAGGGUGAAUGAGGAGCUAUAGUAGACUCCCUAAAAGCCGGUAUAGGUAAAACCUCAGAUAUAUCAAGAUGGUCAGAAUGGUCAGAAGAGGUAAAGAAAAGGAGCUAUAGUAGACUCCCUAAAGGCCGGUAUAGGUAAAACCUCAGAUAUAUCAAGAUGGUCAGAAUUGUCAGAAGAGGUAAAUAAAGGUUUAGACUCAAAAAUUGUGACAUCAGCUGACAUAAGGUACCUACGAAGAUCAGGUGAAUAACAACGAUAGCCCUUCUGGACACGAGAAUAACCAAGGAAGACAUACUUGAGAGCACGAGAAGCUAACUUAUCUUUCCCAGGGGCAAAGUUAUGAACGAAACAAAUGCUCCAAAAAACACGAGGGGGAACAGAGUAUAAGGGUGACUGAGAAACAAUACCUCAUACGGAAUCUAAUUCUGGAUGCGAGAUGAAAGCAUCCGAUUCACCAAAUAACAAGAUGUGAGAACUGCAUCGC